CUGAGCCCUUUAAUGAUUGCCAUCAUUCAGUGGAAGAGAGCGGAGGACAUUAGCUGGACCCAUGCUGGGGACAGAGCCACAGAACCACACACAGGUUUACACACUGAAUGAGGCAGUUCUUUUCGCACAGUUAGGUGUUUUCAAGGAAGAUCGACUCUAGAUACAGCUGACUAAUUUCAGCUAAUUGCAAGCUGUAUGGGUCAGAGCAUGGAGACCCAGCUUCUGCAUAGUCACCACAACAUCCAAGGCUCCCCCACCAUGCAGGACUCCCCCACCCCACUCUGACUUAUCCAGGGCCUAAGACAAUAGGCCCACAAUGGCAGGACCAGGAGACUCCAUUGGUUGGAGACAAUACCUUUUGUUUAAUGACAUUCCUGCACACUGUCUGUCCCUGGCAGUCACCUCACUUGAAGACCAG
Molecule: non-coding RNA, 418 nt
Organism: Pelobates cultripes (western spadefoot toad)
Lineage: Eukaryota; Metazoa; Chordata; Amphibia; Anura; Pelobatidae
Source: the annotation of a GenBank genome assembly